Molecule: long non-coding RNA, 2319 nt
Organism: Dreissena polymorpha
Lineage: Eukaryota; Metazoa; Mollusca; Bivalvia; Myida; Dreissenidae
Exons: 8
Source: RefSeq, a predicted model, not a curated record
UCGAAAUAUGACAGCAUUUUUGUUGUAUGAUCCAGUACGCCAUUCGACGCUCAACCGAAGUUAAUCAGGACUCAAACUCAAUCCUAAACAAUAUCAGCGAGGCCAGCGUGUCAUCUCAGCUUGUUGAGCUUCAGCAAACAUGAGCCAACAAGACAAACAUUAUUGUACAAUCCCGACCCCCUUUUGCAAAAAUAUUACAACUCUCUCAAGAAAUUCAGCACGAAAUCCUCUUGUGUCAGCCUUACAUGCUUCCUAUCAAGAUAUUUUCCCAUGUUUGCUUCAUCAACACUUCCAACAGCGGAUCCUUGGUAAUUUAGACUUCCGUUCCAGCGUGGAUGAGGCUUAGCAAUAAAUUGAUGCUGGGCAACGGCAAAUUGUUCGGGACGAGUCGCUCGAAUUGAAACGAUCUGACCCAACAGAUAGCUUAUAGUGAUGUGUCCAUUAAUGUGACUGACCUCGAUAUGUUGCUUUUAAAUAAUGCGAACCUUACACCAGAAGAACAGUCUGCGAGCAAUUAAGGCCAUUUAACAACCGUUGUUGUCUGGAAUUCACGGCUUUGGGUUGACGAAUUUGGCGUCAGGACUUGCUCUAUCUCUGUCUACGGCAGCAGCAGCAGAAACAACAAAAAAAACAGAUUGGUAACCAGCUGUACAACAGGCUCUCUUGCCAGCUGGGCCCAGACACCCAGGGACACUUCCUUCGCAUGGGUGGUGGUGGGUGGCUCUCGGCGAAGGACUUUUGGGCAGUUCAACGUGUCCUACUCGCAGAGUGCAGCCAAUCUAAACAUGGGGCUCCACAUUUUCCUGGUCAAGAUUACCUUAUCCAAAUAGUAGAUUGAAGCCUUAUCCUCAAAAGUUCAGGUCCAAAGAAAGAUGGUGACCAACUGCAACUCAGCCACUUCAUCUCAAUAGUGAACAAGGCACCCUUCCUAAACCCUCGCCGACUGCGCUAAACGGGAACCUUAAUAUACAUGAGAUUCCAGGCGGAAUGUAAAAUCUGUACCACUCUGAUCUCCAGUAGCAGCCCCAGCCGUGGGAGGCCGAUUCAUGAUGCACCUAUGGCCUUAAUUAUCUCUGAACAUCCCAACCUCACAUGACCUGUAGGGCGGGGAUGUAUAUAAAUGAUCAUUAAAUCCCACAAACCAAGGAGAGGUUAUAUUGGAGUCAAUUUUAUUGGUUUGUGUUCAGUGUCAAGCAGUAUCCUAGCAAUCAAGUCAAGUCAGCGCAGCAGCAACAACAGAUGCAGCAGCAGUCGUACGCAAUACAUCAACAACACUGGAAAACCGGAUAACAAAGCGUUGAUUUUGUUCUGGAUGCAUUAGCAGUCACAGUACAUGAACCGACAGUAGUCAUCUUCUCGAGAUUCUGGCCUCUGAACCAUCAGUCUAUGAACAUAAUGCAGAGCAAUCUAGGGACGCCAAUUGACGAAAUCAAACUGACCAAUCAGCAACAAAGCCUGUUGCAGCAGUUGUUACCAUAUUGACCCCAGUCAAAUCAUGGAAGCUUAGACAUAAAUACUGUUUAAGAUGUGCCAGUCUCUACAGACCUCGUGGUCUGUUAAGCACUUACUCUGACAGGUGUCAUCUUUGGAUUUUGGGACGGGUGGAAAAUGAAUAACCUUGUUCAGAUUGAAAUGGCAGAAUGAAAAAGCACAAUUCACGCGAAAAGCCAUAUAUUAAUUUGACCAGCCAUGGUUUGUUGGAAGAAAAACAAUCUGUCAUGUAUUAUGGAAACUUUGACGCUGUCAGUCAUUAACAAUUGAUGAGAUAUGUUAAAUCUUUUUAAGUAUAAUGAGAUUAAGGUAACUUGAUAAAGGCGUGUAUGUUAAGUAAUACUUUAAGCCCACAUAUUGCACGUCUGUAUAAUUACUUUGUUUGUAUUACGACACUUGCAUCUGAUAACGUUAUAUGCAUGGAAAAUAAAUUUUACUUCAGACAUUCUUUCAUACAUUGAGCUUGUGAUAAUUCAAAGCUGUUUAAAUGAUGCUGGUAACUUGGACGCAAUCACAAAAUAUGUAUUGGAUUCGGUUCAUGUAACUUGUAAUGCUGGUAACUUGGACGCAAUCACAAAAUAUGUAUUGGAUUCUGUUCAUGUAAUAAGCAUGUUUCAGUUUUCUGUUUUUACAUGCAAUAUAGAAAUGCUAGCUAAAAUAACUGUGCAGAAAGGUUGAGAGUUUGAGGCUUCCUAUUUGAUCUGUCUGUCUUUUUCUAUACAAUAAUCUUAUUAAGUUUGCUCAUCUGGGUCCGUAUUUUAUCAAGAAUCUUGUUAAGUAUGGCAGUAUUUGAAAUGAAUAUAAAUUGAAUGUAGACAACAUUAUUUA